This 1269-nucleotide ribosomal RNA is filed under the name Pseudomonas aeruginosa. RNAcentral's name for it is "partial 23S ribosomal RNA". It matches the Rfam family "Bacterial large subunit ribosomal RNA", at positions 1676 to 2925 of the family's 2925-position model. The record is from RNAcentral. Lineage: Bacteria; Pseudomonadati; Pseudomonadota; Gammaproteobacteria; Pseudomonadales; Pseudomonadaceae.
GAAUACCAAGGCGCUUGAGAGAACUCGGGUGAAGGAACUAGGCAAAAUGGCACCGUAACUUCGGGAGAAGGUGCGCCGGCUAGGGUGAAGGAUUUACUCCGUAAGCUCUGGCUGGUCGAAGAUACCAGGCCGCUGCGACUGUUUAUUAAAAACACAGCACUCUGCAAACACGAAAGUGGACGUAUAGGGUGUGACGCCUGCCCGGUGCCGGAAGGUUAAUUGAUGGGGUUAGCGCAAGCGAAGCUCUUGAUCGAAGCCCCGGUAAACGGCGGCCGUAACUAUAACGGUCCUAAGGUAGCGAAAUUCCUUGUCGGGUAAGUUCCGACCUGCACGAAUGGCGUAACGAUGGCGGCGCUGUCUCCACCCGAGACUCAGUGAAAUUGAAAUCGCUGUGAAGAUGCAGUGUAUCCGCGGCUAGACGGAAAGACCCCGUGAACCUUUACUGUAGCUUUGCACUGGACUUUGAGCCUGCUUGUGUAGGAUAGGUGGGAGGCUUUGAAGCGUGGACGCCAGUUCGCGUGGAGCCAUCCUUGAAAUACCACCCUGGCAUGCUUGAGGUUCUAACUCUGGUCCGUAAUCCGGAUCGAGGACAGUGUAUGGUGGGCAGUUUGACUGGGGCGGUCUCCUCCUAAAGAGUAACGGAGGAGUACGAAGGUGCGCUCAGACCGGUCGGAAAUCGGUCGUAGAGUAUAAAGGCAAAAGCGCGCUUGACUGCGAGACAGACACGUCGAGCAGGUACGAAAGUAGGUCUUAGUGAUCCGGUGGUUCUGUAUGGAAGGGCCAUCGCUCAACGGAUAAAAGGUACUCCGGGGAUAACAGGCUGAUACCGCCCAAGAGUUCAUAUCGACGGCGGUGUUUGGCACCUCGAUGUCGGCUCAUCACAUCCUGGGGCUGAAGCCGGUCCCAAGGGUAUGGCUGUUCGCCAUUUAAAGUGGUACGCGAGCUGGGUUUAGAACGUCGUGAGACAGUUCGGUCCCUAUCUGCCGUGGACGUUUGAGAUUUGAGAGGGGCUGCUCCUAGUACGAGAGGACCGGAGUGGACGAACCUCUGGUGUUCCGGUUGUCACGCCAGUGGCAUUGCCGGGUAGCUAUGUUCGGAAAAGAUAACCGCUGAAAGCAUCUAAGCGGGAAACUUGCCUCAAGAUGAGAUCUCACUGGGAACUUGAUUCCCCUGAAGGGCCGUCGAAGACUACGACGUUGAUAGGCUGGGUGUGUAAGCGUUGUGAGGCGUUGAGCUAACCAGUACUAAUUGCCCGUGAGGCUUGACCAU